AGUGAACGCUGGCGGUAGGCCUAACACAUGCAAGUCGAACGGCAGCACAGUAAGAGCUUGCUCUUACGGGUGGCGAGUGGCGGACGGGUGAGGAAUACAUCGGAAUCUACUUUUUCGUGGGGGAUAACGUAGGGAAACUUACGCUAAUACCGCAGACGACCUACGGGUGAAAGCAGGGGAUCUUCGGACCUUGCGCGAUUGAAUGAGCCGAUGUCGGAUUAGUUAGUUGGCGGGGUAAAGGCCCACCAAGGCGACGAUCCGUAGCUGGUCUGAGAGGAUGAUCAGCCACACUGGAACUGAGACACGGUCCAGACUCCUACGGGAGGCAGCAGUGGGGAAUAUUGGACAAUGGGCGCAAGCCUGAUCCAGCCAUCCCGCGUGGGUGAAGAAGGCCUUCGGGUUGUAAAGCCCUUUUUUUGGGAAAGAAAAGCAGCAGGUUAAUACCCCGCUGUUCUGACGGUACCCAAAGAAUAAGCACCGGCUAACUUCGUG
This 492-nucleotide ribosomal RNA is filed under the name uncultured bacterium. RNAcentral's name for it is "partial 16S ribosomal RNA". It matches the Rfam family "Bacterial small subunit ribosomal RNA", at positions 29 to 507 of the family's 1533-position model. The record is from RNAcentral.